RNAcentral lists this long non-coding RNA (457 nucleotides) under Mytilus galloprovincialis (Mediterranean mussel). Lineage: Eukaryota; Metazoa; Mollusca; Bivalvia; Mytilida; Mytilidae. The record is from RNAcentral.
CUUUUUAUUACAUUGGCAAAUGGCUUUUUUUAUGAAAUUAAUGUAGAAAAUGUAAGGAACUAUAUCUUUUUCCUACGCAUUGACAAUUUGUUUUGAUCCGACGUUGUCGACGUCUUGACAACGCCUAUUGUUGUAUGACGUCAGAGAGUGAAAUAACCACGUUUAUUUCACAUGUGAAAUUAUCGGUUUUUAUCUAACUGGGAAAUCAAUGUAAUUCAUUGCAACCAAUGUAAUAAUAAUAUUUAUUUGUGUCCUGGCAAUAUCACAAGAACCAUUACUGAUGAAUGGUGAAAGUGAAAAUCGUCAAUAUCAAAUUUGACCUCCAUUUUGUCAUCAGUAUCAACAUCUUAAAAUUUGAAAAGCUUAGAUUGAAUGGUUCAUGAAUAAAUGCAACAACGUGAAUGGAAACGCCAUUUCACAAUCUUUCAAGAACCAUAACUCCUGAACGGUAAACGUC